UAAUAUAUAUAUAAAUAAACUCACCCUGCGCAAGGCGCAUGUCUUAUCCUAGUAAGUUAUUAAAGUGGUGGUUACAAAAUAAUCUAGUGGAUUCGGAUCAUUAUGGAAUUAAAGUGGUGGUUACAAAAUAUAUAUAUUUUGAUGUAGAAAAUAUAUGUUAUAUUUUUUUAAGUAAGUAACGUCCACCCCUAUUUUCUAUAUAAGAUAUUGUAUAGAUUUACACACAUUUAUCUGAACCAAAGAACCAAAGUCAAAUGUGAACGUAAUUCAUAAAUAACUAACUGAAUCAUAUCAAUACAAUACUAAAAGCAAGAUAUCCUCAUCGUUGAGGGUGUCCACGUCAGAAAAAAAAAUUGACCAAUGAGAGACUUUUAAAUUGGCAAGUCAUUAAAGAAAAAACACAUCACCAAAUCACUCUUUUCAAAAAAACCUUUUCAACACCACGCCGAUUCCAAUAUCUCCUUGGUCUUCUCCCGAAUCGUCUACCUCUGCAAAAAACAACUUUUCUCAAUUUUUUUCAGCUUUCCUCCUUCUCUCCUUACUCACUAUAUAAGACGGUGGUUGAUUCACGAAAAAUUCCUCUCACUAAAACCACCAUAUCUCUUCAUCGCCUCCGGAGAAAACGAGUAGUUAGUAACGGCGUUCGGUUUUGGAUCCAUCACUUUACCUCUGUAUACAGUUUACUGUAAAAAUAAAUUACUUCAUAUUUGGUGAGUCACUGAACGCCUUACUCCUGGUACAUACAAAACAUUACUUAACCUUUGUACAUUUUUCUUUGAAAAGUGUUCUUGGGAGUUGUCUGUGAUUUCUUUUUCUUUUAUAUUUUUAUCAUAUUGUGAGGGAGAUGGAGGACUUCGAGUUCCAUCACUGGUGGAGCUUACGGUUAAAGUUUGGUUCAUGAUUUCACUUCCUCUGUUUCAGAUCUUUGGUUUCGUACCUGGUGAAAGCUCUUGAUCUGGUGUUUAAUUAGGUUGUUGGAGGUUUAAAAGGAGGAGAUGACGCUUUACAGGAGAGGAUUUGUCAUCUAUUUUUUCAGGACCAACGGAAAAUGGGCAAAUUGAUGUUCACUUUCAGGAUCUGCAUAGCGCAAGAACAACGUUCGAGCAGGCCCUGAUUCAUUUGGUCAUCACUUUUUCUUCUUAUGCUAUGAGAAUUUCCAAGAUAUUUCCUUUGCUUCAAUCUGCGAGUCAACACCAUCACAUGUAGCGUAACAUGAGUUAUCCUUGCCAUACGCUUUCUCUUUGUGUGUUUGGUAUAAUCAGAGGAUCAUGGUGUGUAUUGCCUCUCUCUCUCUCAAAUACUUGAAACAUAAAUCUUUAGCUCAUUCAAGUCGAAGGCUUUAUCUAGAGUUCCCUAAAUGAGCUCUUGCUACAAUAUAUGUACAGUUAUAUCGUUUUUGUUAACGGCUUAUGUUCAAACAUCCAUGCGGCAGAUUUUCCUCUUCCAUGUUGUUCUCAUAAGAAAGAUGAAAUCUUCGAUUUCUAUUCGCCUGAAAGCCCAAAACAAACGUUGAUCUCGAAGUUUAUGUGCAGCAGAUGAGAAUCAGCAUAUCCAUAAAGAUAGAAGGAGAUGGGCGUUCAACUUCUUCCACGCUGAUCAACAAGAAACCAGGUUUCUAUGGAAGCAUAAACCCACGGAAGCUUAUCACUUUAAGCUGAUAUGGAUGAAUGCAGACCUCUGUGUAAGAGGACAUAUCAUUUGAUGUGUUGUGUUAUCAGAUCAGGAGUACACUCAUUACAGUCACUCAACUUCUCUUUGUUGAGCGUUCUAGAAUUGUUUUGGGCCCUAUGCUAACUUUUAUUGGCUGUAGUGGUUGAAGAUUUAGAGGAUGGGGAUCGUACUUCUCAGCCAAAGGACAAAGUUGUGACAUGGAACCUGCCAUUUCGAAGUGAUACCUCAUAUUUGGUCCAGUCUACAACAUAAGCUUACGUGGAAGAUUUCAACAUUCAAAUAUUGAGCUGUGUUAGUGAUUCUGAUUAGAUGUAGAAAAACAUUGUAGAGAAGUAUGGAGUUAGGUACUCGAGGCUGAGAUACUUACAUGAUGCAAAAGAUGUUAUCAUAAGCCAUGGGGCGGAUCUCAUCUCAGGUAUUAUUCCAUGAUCUCCACUAAACGAAAUCUGAUGCGUAACGGAAGGAAUCAGAGGACAACAAGGCCAGUGGUGGAUCUGAUGAGAGAUUUUUCGUAUAGCCAUAUACAGAGCGGGUGGGAUAUGAACCAGUAGCUGUAAUGUUUUGCAUUAUCCUUGCAUUAUCAGUAAAUGACGAUUAGAAGUUACAGCUACUUGCCUUUUUCUUCUACAGUUAAGUUUAUAGUUGUUUUAACGUACAAGAUAAAUUGGAAGAGUAGACGUGGCCGUUGAUAAUUCUGUAGUAGAGUCUUAGGUGUAUCUCUUUAGUCUGAGGGUUAGAUUCAGUAGCAGCUAUGUGCCAUCUUUUGGUUGUAUCUGGUGAAGCUGAAGUUCUUGGUGGGAAUAUGAAAAAGCAGAUAAUGGAUGAGUCUGAGAAUUUGAGUUUGAACUGACUGGUGCCGCCUCAUCCUCCACCGCUUCCAGCAUCUCCAGGAUAUGAAUCAAGAGAGGUUGAGGGAGACAGCAUAACCUAAAAACAGAUCAACAAGUUCCCUCAUCCUCUUUGCUGCUAUUGAGGCUGCAGCUCAGAGGCCUAAUCUCCUUCUUGGUUUUGACAAUUCUUGUGAAGGUUUUAUAUCACUGAGGAGGAAAAUCAAUAUUUUCUCGAGUUUUUAUAAUCUUCUGCUAUAGAUUGGAUAGAACCUCUUUAGAUCAAACUAAUUAUGAAGGUCGAUAUCAAUAUCUAUUGGUGUCUAUUGGAGAUUCAAAUUUUUAUGUACGGUUACAAUAAUAUGAGUCUAACUUUAAAGUCUA
Brassica napus (rape) is the source of this 2882-nucleotide long non-coding RNA. RefSeq lists it as uncharacterized. The record is from RefSeq and is a predicted model, not a curated record. Lineage: Eukaryota; Viridiplantae; Streptophyta; Magnoliopsida; Brassicales; Brassicaceae. The transcript is spliced from 7 exons.